RNAcentral lists this ribosomal RNA (253 nucleotides) under uncultured bacterium. RNAcentral's name for it is "partial 16S ribosomal RNA". It matches the Rfam family "Bacterial small subunit ribosomal RNA", at positions 524 to 776 of the family's 1533-position model. The record is from RNAcentral.
UACAGAGGGUGCGAGCGUUGUCCGGAAUCACUGGGCGUAAAGGGCGCGUAGGUGGCGACCCAAGUCAAUGGUGAAAGCUCGCCGCUCAACGGCGAGUCGGCCACUGAUACUGGGUUGCUUGAGCACUGUAGAGGCUAAUGGAAUUCCGGGUGUAGCGGUGGAAUGCGUAGAGAUCCGGAAGAACACCGGUGGCGAAGGCGGUUAGCUGGGCAGUUGCUGACACUGAGGCGCGACAGCGUGGGGAGCAAACAGG